UACGUAGGGUGCAAGCGUUGUCCGGAAUUAUUGGGCGUAAAGAGCUCGUAGGCGGUUUGUCGCGUCGAAUGUGAAAACCCGGGGCUCAACUCCGGGCCUGCAUUCGAUACGGGCAGACUAGAGUUCGGUAGGGGAGUCUGGAAUUCCUGGUGUAGCGGUGAAAUGCGCAGAUAUCAGGAGGAACACCGGUGGCGAAGGCGGGUCUCUGGACAGUUCCUGACACUGAGGCACGAAGGCCAGGGGAGCAAACGGG
Molecule: ribosomal RNA, 253 nt
Filed under: uncultured bacterium
Lineage: Bacteria
Description: partial 16S ribosomal RNA
Rfam family: Bacterial small subunit ribosomal RNA
Source: RNAcentral